GAAAUGCUUCCUGCCAUAGUUCAAGAUCAGUUGCAAUUUUGAGUUGCUCUACUCUUGUAUCCAAGUAUAGCUGCAAUGUUUCCGGAGCUGUGAGAUCAGGCCUAUCUCUUUGGUCCUUGUAUUUGUUUAAGUUCGCAAGAUGGUUCCGUAUAAUCUCGCAGAGCCUACGGAACUCAGUGGUUCUCUUGUAUUGUUUACAAAACUGGAAGGCCCGAUGUGCUGUCAUCGCAUAAAGUGCUUCCAACUUUGAAUUGUUCCUCAGAAUCUCCAGCACGGUCCUGUAUGUCUCCCACAAGAACUUGAACCACGGCGUAACAAGCUCCCUAUCCGACCUAUCCUUCCCCUUCUCCCCACUUACAUAACUAAGCAUCAAAUCCUCCGGCCGCCGAUCGGCCUCCAAAUCCUCAACAUCCAGCGCAUCAUCCAGCGCUU
This 432-nucleotide unclassified non-coding RNA is filed under the name Hevea brasiliensis (rubber tree). Lineage: Eukaryota; Viridiplantae; Streptophyta; Magnoliopsida; Malpighiales; Euphorbiaceae. The record is from RNAcentral.